CCUACGGGAGGCUGAACCAGCCAUGCCGCGUGAAGGUCAGUGCCCUAUGGGCGUUAAACUUCUUUUGUUCGUGAGCAAUAAUGGUCACGUGUGGCCAGACGAUAGUAACGUACGAAUAAGCAUCUGCUAACUCCGUGCCAGCAGCCGCGGUAAUACGGGGGAUGCAAGCGUUAUCCGAAUUUAUUGGGUUUAAAGGGUGCGUAGGCUGUGAUGUAAGUCAGCGGUGAAAUGCACCCGCUCAACGGGGUGAAGUGCCAUUGAUACUGGCUUGCUGGAAUGCGGAUGCGGUGGGAGGAAUGUGUGGUGUAGCGGUGAAAUGCAUAGAUAUCACACAGAACACUGAUUGCGAAGGCAUCUCACGGAUCCGCGAUUGACGCUGAUGCACGAAAGCGUGGGUAUCAAACAGGAUUAGAUACCCCAGUAGUC
RNAcentral lists this ribosomal RNA (426 nucleotides) under uncultured bacterium. RNAcentral describes it as "partial 16S ribosomal RNA". It matches the Rfam family "Bacterial small subunit ribosomal RNA", at positions 368 to 795 of the family's 1533-position model. The record is from RNAcentral.